RNAcentral lists this ribosomal RNA (1372 nucleotides) under uncultured bacterium. RNAcentral describes it as "bacterial SSU rRNA". It matches the Rfam family "Bacterial small subunit ribosomal RNA", at positions 28 to 1381 of the family's 1533-position model. The record is from RNAcentral.
GAUGAACGCUGGCGGCGUGCCUAAUACAUGCAAGUCGAGCGAACGGACGAGAAGCUUGCUUCUCUGAUGUUAGCGGCGGACGGGUGAGUAACACGUGGAUAACCUACCUAUAAGACUGGGAUAACUUCGGGAAACCGGAGCUAAUACCGGAUAAUAUUUUGAACCGCAUGGUUCAAAAGUGAAAGACGGUCUUGCUGUCACUUAUAGAUGGAUCCGCGCUGCAUUAGCUAGUUGGUAAGGUAACGGCUUACCAAGGCAACGAUGCAUAGCCGACCUGAGAGGGUGAUCGGCCACACUGGAACUGAGACACGGUCCAGACUCCUACGGGAGGCAGCAGUAGGGAAUCUUCCGCAAUGGGCGAAAGCCUGACGGAGCAACGCCGCGUGAGUGAUGAAGGUCUUCGGAUCGUAAAACUCUGUUAUUAGGGAAGAACAUAUGUGUAAGUAACUGUGCACAUCUUGACGGUACCUAAUCAGAAAGCCACGGCUAACUACGUGCCAGCAGCCGCGGUAAUACGUAGGUGGCAAGCGUUAUCCGGAAUUAUUGGGCGUAAAGCGCGCGUAGGCGGUUUUUUAAGUCUGAUGUGAAAGCCCACGGCUCAACCGUGGAGGGUCAUUGGAAACUGGAAAACUUGAGUGCAGAAGAGGAAAGUGGAAUUCCAUGUGUAGCGGUGAAAUGCGCAGAGAUAUGGAGGAACACCAGUGGCGAAGGCGACUUUCUGGUCUGUAACUGACGCUGAUGUGCGAAAGCGUGGAGAUCAAACAGGAUUAGAUACCCUGGUAGUCCACGCCGUAAACGAUGAGUGCUAAGUGUUAGGGGGUUUCCGCCCCUUAGUGCUGCAGCUAACGCAUUAAGCACUCCGCCUGGGGAGUACGACCGCAAGGUUGAAACUCAAAGGAAUUGACGGGGACCCGCACAAGCGGUGGAGCAUGUGGUUUAAUUCGAAGCAACGCGAAGAACCUUACCAAAUCUUGACAUCCUUUGACAACUCUAGAGAUAGAGCCUUCCCCUUCGGGGGACAAAGUGACAGGUGGUGCAUGGUUGUCGUCAGCUCGUGUCGUGAGAUGUUGGGUUAAGUCCCGCAACGAGCGCAACCCUUAAGCUUAGUUGCCAUCAUUAAGUUGGGCACUCUAAGUUGACUGCCGGUGACAAACCGGAGGAAGGUGGGGAUGACGUCAAAUCAUCAUGCCCCUUAUGAUUUGGGCUACACACGUGCUACAAUGGACAAUACAAAGGGCAGCGAAACCGCGAGGUCAAGCAAAUCCCAUAAAGUUGUUCUCAGUUCGGAUUGUAGUCUGCAACUCGACUACAUGAAGCUGGAAUCGCUAGUAAUCGUAGAUCAGCAUGCUACGGUGAAUACGUUCCCGGGUCU